UUGACGUUAGCUCAGCUGGCAGAGUUCUGGUUUGUGAAGCCAAGGGUCACCGGUUCGAAUCCGGUACGUCAACCCA
Molecule: transfer RNA, 76 nt
Filed under: Massilia sp. H-1
Lineage: Bacteria; Pseudomonadati; Pseudomonadota; Betaproteobacteria; Burkholderiales; Oxalobacteraceae
Also listed under: 1 other name
Description: tRNA-His
Rfam family: tRNA
About the family: Transfer RNA (tRNA) molecules are approximately 80 nucleotides in length. Their secondary structure includes four short double-helical elements and three loops (D, anti-codon, and T loops).
Source: RNAcentral